AAUAAUAUAAAUAAGAUAAAUUUAUCAAAACUUAUUGCACAUAAAUACAAUUUGGGAAAUACAGGUGAAAAGCCGUAGCUGUGUCGCAACUGUAUUGAUUCAAUGAAUCUAAGCCAGGAUACCAAUUUGUAUGAAGCUCUUACU
This 144-nucleotide non-coding RNA is filed under the name Candidatus Melainabacteria. The record is from RNAcentral. Lineage: Bacteria; Bacillati.